Molecule: ribosomal RNA, 440 nt
Filed under: uncultured bacterium
Lineage: Bacteria
Description: partial 16S ribosomal RNA
Rfam family: Bacterial small subunit ribosomal RNA
Source: RNAcentral
CCUACGGGUGGCAGCAGUGGGGAAUAUUGCACAAUGGGGGAAACCCUGAUGCAGCGACGCCGCGUGAGCGAUGACGUAUUUCGGUAUGUAAAGCUCUAUCAGCAGGGAAGAAGAUGACGGUACCUGACUCAGAAGCACAGGCUAACUACGUGCCAGCAGCCGCGGUAAUACGUAGGGGGCCAGCGUUAUCCGGAUUUACUGGGUGUAAAGGGAGCGUAGACGGUGAGGCAAGCCAGAUGUGAAAGCCCGGGGCUCAACCCCGGGACUGCAUUUGAAACUGGGUGACUGGAGUGUCGGAGAGGCAGGCGGAAUGCCUAGUGUAGCGGUGAAAUGCGUAGAUAUUAGGAGGAACACCAGUGGCGAAGGCGGCCUGCUGGACGAUGACUGACGUUGAGGCUCGAAAGCGUGGGGAGCAAACAGGAUUAGAUACCCGAGUAGUC